RNAcentral lists this ribosomal RNA (555 nucleotides) under Reticulocaulis sp. BOLD:AAL1198. RNAcentral describes it as "eukaryotic LSU rRNA". It matches the Rfam family "Eukaryotic large subunit ribosomal RNA", at positions 364 to 1006 of the family's 3401-position model. Lineage: Eukaryota; Rhodophyta; Florideophyceae; Bonnemaisoniales; Naccariaceae. The record is from RNAcentral.
AUGACAAGCACUUUGAAAAGAGGGUGAAAAGAGCCUGAAACCGUUACGGGGGAAGCGGAUUGCGUUGGAUUGGCGGGCGUCAGUGUGUUCAGCCUUUUUAGGUGUAUUGACAUUGGCGCCUAUCCGCCGUGGGUUUCUGGCGGCUGACGUUGAGUCGCUGGGGACUGAGGGCUCCCUUCGGGUGAGGACGGCGGAGUGACGACGCGAUACGACCCGUCUUGAAACACGGACCAAGGAGUCUAGCGCGAGUGCGAGUCAGAGGGUGCAAGCCCGUGGGCGAAGUGAAAGCGAGUGUAAAAACGAGCAGUUUGGGGCGGCAUGGAAUCGUUGAUUCCAGGACCGACCCGGAGCAGUUGCGCUGGGACCCGAAAGAUGGUGAACUAUGCCGGAGUAGGGCAAAGCCAGAGGAAACUCUGGUGGAGGCUCGUAGCGGUGCUGACGUGCAAAUCGCUCGUCGAACUUGGGUAUAGGGGCGAAAGACUAAUCGAACCAUCUAGUAGCUGGUUCCCUCCGAAGUUUCUCUCAGGAUAGCGGGCCGACUUUGUUGUUUUGUGC